AACAUGCCGAUGACGAUGUUGAGGUACCCGUUGAAGCCGACCACCUUGCGGAGGAUGCGCGCGGCGGUGCCCUUAACGAUGAUCUGGAGCAUGUACACGAUGCAGAAGAGGCAAGAGCAGAGCGAGAUGAGGGAAACGACGGUGAGGAAGGUACCCGCGCCGUUGUCGGUCAUGUCCCAGUCAUCGAGGAGGAGGCCGCCCUUGAGGAGGCGCUUGUCGCAGAGGCCAGUCUUGACCUUGGAGCCACACACCUCGUAGCAGGUGCCGGCGGUGAGGGAGCCCGCGACGGUGCUGGUGAAGUUGGUGUCGUUGUCGAAGAACUUGGUGGAGGUGGAGCAGGCAGCGGGCUUGUCGUAGUGGAACUCGGCGGGGGUACCGGAGGCGGUGCCGACGAUGUACGCGGGCGCGCGCUUCUUGGCGAGGUAUCCCUUGGACAUCCAGUUGGACUCGUAGUUCUUGUGGACGUUGGAGCAGUCCGUAGAGGAGGUGCACACCUCCUCGGAGAUUUUCUUCAUGGCGUC
RNAcentral lists this long non-coding RNA (521 nucleotides) under Micromonas commoda. RNAcentral describes it as "long non-coding RNA (MCOM_LNC000376)". The record is from RNAcentral. Lineage: Eukaryota; Viridiplantae; Chlorophyta; Mamiellophyceae; Mamiellales; Mamiellaceae.